UAACACUGUAUGUUGUUGUUUUUUCCCCCAUAUAUGGGCUCAAACACAUGAAGCAGACAGGAAAUGUAGUUGCUAAGCUGUUGCUAUGUGCACCAAAGCUAUUUAUGACUAAGGCAGUACAAAGAGUUUAGUAUAAAAAGGGCUGACUGACAGAAAUCUGUGUUCUUUUUCACUUUUGUGCCUUUGCUUUUUUGUCCUUUUCUUUUUGGACUUGUUGGUGAUUCUCAGCUGCAGACAGCUUUAGAGAAUUUCACUUGCUGAAGACACCAUCACCGACUGGUAUUGCAAACGACCAACUUGUGUCUGAACCUCUGCAAAUUAGACAACCAAUCACUCAUCAGUCAAGUUACAAAUCAAGAAGACUGACUGCUCACUGACUGCUGCCUCAGACUGCCGCCUCCUGCCAGCCACUGUGAGUGCUCAAGUCAACUUUAGCCAACUUUAGUUCUUCGGGAAAAAUAUGAUGAAACUUUCCGUUUUCCUACUGAUGCUGCACUCUGUCAUUCUGGUCUGGUCCGUGCCUCCGGAAAAGUCACUAUUCGAAAUUCAGCAUAUUGCGAAGGAAGGAGACACGUGUGAUAAUCUGAUGAAUAAUCUGAUGAAUAAACUGAAUGAACUGAAUAAACAGAACAAGGAGGAGUCUAAAUGCAAGCCAAGGAAUACCUUCAUCAUUGAUGAUAUGGAAAAUGUUAAAAAGAUUUGUAAUCAGAGGCAUGUUUAUUACAAUCUUUACGCAAGCAACAAUGUGUUGAAAAUGUUGCACUGUAAAUUGAAAUCUACUUCGCCUUGUAAGUAUGACGACGAAGAAAUAGAACUGCAUGCAGAAAUUGCAUGUAACAAUAACAAGCAACCUGUACACUUUGAAUGUUCCUUUCCCUCAACAUCUAAAUAAAUUUGCUUAAAUAUUAACAGUAAUAAUAAUAAAUAAAAACAAUGACUGAAUACUGGAAAAUUGCUUUUCAGUGAUGAUGGAAGAAUAUUACAAUCACCAGCACUAUCUGUUAGACUUCACUUUGUCUCACUUAAAUAACUAUAUUUUACAUGUUUUCUAACUGGCUGUAUCUCAUCUUGUUCUCUCAUAUGACAAUCAUUGCCGGCCUUUCAGCACUCAUUAAAUAAACUAAAGCUGACCAAGCUGCUGCUCCAGAGAAUUGCAUUACACUGAAAGUGAAACCACAUAUUUGGGUUGGUUUUUAAAACUCUGAAGAGAGAAGCUUUAUGCACAUUAUGUGACAGAAAAGGAAGUGGUUAUAAGUCGAGCAGGCUCGGCUGGGGAAUAACACAGGCGCCCUAUAUAGCAAAAAGGUCCUAGGUUCAAAUCCAGCAUCUGACCUGAACCUUUCUGUGCGGAGUUUGUGUCUGUGUGUUGCAUGCAUGGCUUCUCCCCGGGCACUCCAGUCUUCUCCUAUAGUACAAAGACAUGUGUAGGAUUAGGUUAAGUGGUGACCUGUAGGUGUAAAUAUGGGUAUGUUGUCUUUUUCUCUGUGUUAGUCCUGCAAUAGACUUGCAACAUGUCCCGGAUGUAACCUGCUUCAUAGCAGACAUGAAAAAUUUAUAUCUGCUGUACAAAGUGAAGCUUAUUCAAGUGUUAGACUUAUCUUCAGUGUCUGGAUAAGUCAGGCCCACUUCAUCAUUGUUGCUGUGGUAGAUAACCAGCAGCAUCUUCAGAACCACGAUAUACAAAAGUAAAAAAAAUUCUGAGAACUGAGAAUUAUAUGUAAGCAUUUUAGGGUGAGAUGUCCAUUAUAAUACUUUUCUAAUACUUUGUUAUUUCAGAUUGAUUCCACUUCUGUUCUGUGGCAUGCCAUCAACUCCUUCUAUCAAAUAAUGUCUUGACAUGAGACAGGGAAACACAUCUGUAUGAUCCCUGAAUUAAACAGGUUACUAUUCA
Oreochromis aureus is the source of this 1891-nucleotide long non-coding RNA. RefSeq lists it as uncharacterized. The transcript has 4 exons. The record is from RefSeq and is a predicted model, not a curated record. Lineage: Eukaryota; Metazoa; Chordata; Actinopteri; Cichliformes; Cichlidae.